UACGAAGGGGGCUAGCGUUGCUCGGAAUCACUGGGCGUAAAGCGUGCGUAGGCGGCUGCGCAAGUCGGUUGUGAAACCCCGGGGCUCAACCCCGGAACUGCAUCCGAUACUGCGUGGCUAGAGGUAGGUAGGGGAGAUCGGAAUUCCUGGUGUAGCGGUGAAAUGCGCAGAUAUCAGGAGGAACACCGGUGGCGAAGGCGGAUCUCUGGGCCUUACCUGACGCUCAGGUGCGAAAGCGUGGGGAGCAAACAGG
RNAcentral lists this ribosomal RNA (253 nucleotides) under uncultured bacterium. RNAcentral's name for it is "partial 16S ribosomal RNA". It matches the Rfam family "Bacterial small subunit ribosomal RNA", at positions 524 to 776 of the family's 1533-position model. The record is from RNAcentral.